This 567-nucleotide ribosomal RNA is filed under the name Escherichia coli. RNAcentral describes it as "partial 23S ribosomal RNA". It matches the Rfam family "Bacterial large subunit ribosomal RNA", at positions 1273 to 1825 of the family's 2925-position model. Lineage: Bacteria; Pseudomonadati; Pseudomonadota; Gammaproteobacteria; Enterobacterales; Enterobacteriaceae. The record is from RNAcentral.
CUGGAGGUAUCAGAAGUGCGAAUGCUGACAUAAGUAACGAUAAAGCGGGUGAAAAGCCCGCUCGCCGGAAGACCAAGGGUUCCUGUCCAACGUUAAUCGGGGCAGGGUGAGUCGACCCCUAAGGCGAGGCCGAAAGGCGUAGUCGAUGGGAAACAGGUUAAUAUUCCUGUACUUGGUGUUACUGCGAAGGGGGGACGGAGAAGGCUAUGUUGGCCGGGCGACGGUUGUCCCGGUUUAAGCGUGUAGGCUGGUUUUCCAGGCAAAUCCGGAAAAUCAAGGCUGAGGCGUGAUGACGAGGCACUACGGUGCUGAAGCAACAAAUGCCCUGCUUCCAGGAAAAGCCUCUAAGCAUCAGGUAACAUCAAAUCGUACCCCAAACCGACACAGGUGGUCAGGUAGAGAAUACCAAGGCGCUUGAGAGAACUCGGGUGAAGGAACUAGGCAAAAUGGUGCCGUAACUUCGGGAGAAGGCACGCUGAUAUGUAGGUGAAGUCCCUCGCGGAUGGAGCUGAAAUCAGUCGAAGAUACCAGCUGGCUGCAACUGUUUAUUAAAAACACAGCACUGUG